GACGAACGCUAGCGGCGUGCUUAACACAUGCAAGUCGAACGGAAAGGCCCUGCUUUUGUGGGGUGCUCGAGUGGCGAACGGGUGAGUAACACGUGAGUAACCUGCCCUUGACUUUGGGAUAACUUCAGGAAACUGGGGCUAAUACCGGAUAGGAACUCCUGCUGCAUGGUGGGGGUUGGAAAGUUUCGGCGGUUGGGGAUGGACUCGCGGCUUAUCAGCUUGUUGGCGGGGUAGUGGCUUACCAAGGCUUUGACGGGUAGCCGGCCUGAGAGGGUGACCGGCCACAUUGGGACUGAGAUACGGCCCAGACUCCUACGGGAGGCAGCAGUGGGGAAUAUUGCACAAUGGGCGGAAGCCUGAUGCAGCAACGCCGCGUGCGGGAUGACGGCCUUCGGGUUGUAAACCGCUUUCGCCUGUGACGAGGCGUGAGUGACGGUAAUGGGUAAAGAAGCACCGGCUAACUACGUG
This 468-nucleotide ribosomal RNA is filed under the name uncultured bacterium. RNAcentral describes it as "partial 16S ribosomal RNA". It matches the Rfam family "Bacterial small subunit ribosomal RNA", at positions 28 to 507 of the family's 1533-position model. The record is from RNAcentral.